Molecule: long non-coding RNA, 1684 nt
Organism: Antechinus flavipes (yellow-footed antechinus)
Lineage: Eukaryota; Metazoa; Chordata; Mammalia; Dasyuromorphia; Dasyuridae
Exons: 6
Source: RefSeq, a predicted model, not a curated record
UCCUACUUUUCUAAAGAUGUCCAGGUGCACAAGCCCACAGAGAACAUCUGUUCAUGGGAGUGUUUGGAAGGGAAACCGUGGCUGUGCAAUUGCAGUUGUUCGGCUAUUUCUGUAAAUGUUUCUAUUUGGGCUAAGUUAAGAGGAUGAAGUUGGAGCUUUAUUUGUGAGGAAUCAGCUAACUUAGGGAAAAGAAGAGAGUAGCAUCCAUGACUGUCCAUGGUGAGGUCAUAAAGUCCCCAAGAUUCUCCAUCAAGCAGUCUCUCUACUGAUGAGCUGCAUGGAAACUAUUAUGGUCAGAGUAUAUGUGUGCCCUGAACACAAACUCCUUUUGACUCUUCAGAUAUAGAAGGGAUCAGAUCUACUCAGGACUGAAAACACACAAUUCUAAUGGGCUCCAUUCUGCUAGCUGAAUCAGCUGCUCUCUGCAUGUGAAGUAUUCUGGGAAAGCACUGGGCUGGGAUUCUAGUUAGUGGUCAAAAAAUGUCUGCUGGAGCCUAAGGAGUGUCCAAUGGCAUAAUCUGGACAAACUAAGAAACUGGCAGCCAAAAGAAAAUCCCUGGCCUAUUGGAUAAGUCAACUUUGCUGCUGUUUACAGUACUAAAACAAACCAAGAAAGUGAAGCAGUAACAUUUACCUUCCUGAAAAUGAGAAGUUAUCUGCUCAAAUUGGUCACUGCACUCAUACAAUGACAGCAUCCCAGGGAGCAACAUUAUAUAAUGGCACAUCAAAAACAAAAGUGAAUUCAAAAGUUAAAUGGCAAAAAAAAUCUGACACAUCUAUUAAUAAAGCAAUGAGCUGCUACAGGGCAUGAAUUAAUGACAAAUACCUCAGAUGCAAUUUGAAGGCAGAGAAGUUCAAAGGACUUGUGAUUUCAUUAACCCAAGGGCUCAUUACUGUAUAACCGACUCAUGUGAAGAAUCCUGCACCUUGUUGAGAUCAAUCAAUGGAGGUGGAAAAAUUUUCCUCUGGUCUCCCUUUCCAGCAGGGGUCAGUUUCUUCCUCUGCAAGUCUUGCAGAUUAUUUCUCCUCCAUGACUCACCACAGGUGCUCAACAUUCCCUAUGUUUCCAACAAGCUGGGAGCAGAAGCAUCCAUCAGAAGAGAUCAAAUUCAAAAGGUUUCUCUCUUUGAGGGGACUAUCGUAGCCACUAUACAAGACCUAGCAAAUAUCUGGCCUUUGACCAUUCUCUGAACAUUUUUUGGCAAAAUGUUCAUAACAUUUAUGAAGCCCUGUAGGAUAUACGAAGAUGGCUCAGAUGGGCUAAUGCUGAAGCCAGUGUUUAACCACGGACAUCUGAUGUGUGCAGAAAAUCCCUCUAAAUGCUCUCUACCUUCUUGUGUGUCAUUUCUGCCGAGAGUACGAUUAUUCCAAGCUAAUGUAAAAAUUGCAGCUUUCACCGCCUAAUGCCAUGAGGUACUCAUUAUCAAUUUGGUUAGUGAGUUACUGCGUUGUUUUAAAUUACAAGAUAUCUGGCACAGAGUGGACCCCUUUGAUUUAUGAUAAUUAUCUCUCACUGCUGAGCCGAUUAGAAAAGCAUGAUCUUACUGGGCACACACAAUGCUUUCCAAACCUCUUCUCUCCUCUCCUCUGUAUGCCUUUGGGAAGGAGGAAGUCCUUUUGUUCUAGGCCUGUUUUCUCUCCUGUCAUGUGCCUUCCCUGCCUGUCACAGGGAUGGAGAGCAGCU